RNAcentral lists this transfer RNA (68 nucleotides) under Podarcis muralis (Common wall lizard). RNAcentral describes it as "tRNA-His". Lineage: Eukaryota; Metazoa; Chordata; Lepidosauria; Squamata; Lacertidae. The record is from RNAcentral.
GUAAAUAUAGUUUACCCAAAACACUAGACGGUGACUCUAGAAACAGAAGCCCCAACUUCUUAUUUACC